This 467-nucleotide ribosomal RNA is filed under the name uncultured bacterium. RNAcentral's name for it is "bacterial SSU rRNA". It matches the Rfam family "Bacterial small subunit ribosomal RNA", at positions 330 to 792 of the family's 1533-position model. The record is from RNAcentral.
UCCAGACUCCUACGGGAGGCAGCAGUGAGGAAUAUUGGUCAGUGGCCGGAAGGCUGAACCAGCCAAGCCGCGUGAGGGAGGAAGGCGCAGAGCGUCGCAGACCUCUUUUGCCGGGGGACAAAAGGCCGGACGGGUCCGGUUCUGAGGGUACCCGGAGAAAAAGCAUCGGCUAACUCCGUGCCAGCAGCCGCGGUAAUACGGAGGAUGCGAGCAUUAUCCGGAGUGACUGGGUGUAAAGAGCUGCGUAGGUGGCAUAAUAAGUAGCUAGUGAAAUCUGGUGGCUCAACCAUUCAGACUAUUAGCUAAACUGUUAAGCUCGAGACCGUUAGGGGUAACUGGAAUUUCUAGUGUAGGAGUGAAAUCCGUAGAUAUUAGAAGGAACACCAAUAGCGUAGGCAGGUUGCUGGGACGGUUCUGACACUAAGGCACGAAAGCGUAGGGAGCAAACGGGAUUAGAUACCCCGGUA